RNAcentral lists this ribosomal RNA (480 nucleotides) under uncultured bacterium. Its description in RNAcentral is "bacterial SSU rRNA". It matches the Rfam family "Bacterial small subunit ribosomal RNA", at positions 30 to 506 of the family's 1533-position model. The record is from RNAcentral.
UUGAACGCUGGCGGCAUGCCUUACACAUGCAAGUCGAACGGUAACGCGGGGCAACCUGGCGACGAGUGGCGAACGGGUGAGUAAUAUAUCGGAACGUGCCCAAUAGUGGGGGAUAGCCCGGCGAAAGCCGGAUUAAUACCGCAUACGAUCUACGGAUGAAAGCGGGGGAUCGCAAGACCUCGCGCGGACGGAGCGGCCGAUGGCAGAUUAGGUAGUUGGUGGGAUAAAAGCUUACCAAGCCGACGAUCUGUAGCUGGUCUGAGAGGACGGCCAGCCACACUGGGACUGAGACACGGCCCAGACUCCUACGGGAGGCAGCAGUGGGGAAUUUUGGACAAUGGGCGAAAGCCUGAUCCAGCCAUGCCGCGUGCAUGAUGAAGGCCUUCGGGUUGUAAACUGCUUUUGUACGGAACGAAAAAGUCUUCUCUAAUACAGGGGGCGAAUGACGGUACCGUAAGAAUAAGCACCGGCUAACUACGU